AUUGAAUGCUGGCGGCAGGCCUCACACAUGCAAGUCGAACGGUAACAGGAAGCAGCUUGCUGCUUUGCUGACGCGUGGCGGACGGGCGAGUCAUGUCUGGGAAACUGCCGGACGGCAGGGGAUAACUACUGGAAACGGUAGCUAACACCGCAUAACGUCCCAAGGCCAAAGAGGGGGAACUUCGGGCCUCUUGCCUUCGGUUGUUCCCAGAUGGGAUUAGCUAGUAGGUGGGGUAACGGCUCACCUAGGGGACGAUCCCUACCUGCGCGGAGAGGAUGACCAGCCACACUGGAACUGAGACACGGUCCAGACUCCUACGGGAGGCAGCAGUGGGGAAUAUUGCACAAUGGGCGCAAGCCUGAUGCAGCCAUGCCGCGUGUAUGAAGAAGGCCUUCGGGUUGUAAAGUACUUUCAGCGGGGAGGAAGGUGUUGAGGUUAAUAACCUCAGCAAUUGACGUUACCCGCAGAAGAAGCACCGGCUAACUCCGUGCCAGCAGCCGCCGUAA
This 506-nucleotide ribosomal RNA is filed under the name uncultured bacterium. RNAcentral's name for it is "partial 16S ribosomal RNA". It matches the Rfam family "Bacterial small subunit ribosomal RNA", at positions 30 to 523 of the family's 1533-position model. The record is from RNAcentral.